RNAcentral lists this ribosomal RNA (127 nucleotides) under Erwinia sp. CPCC 100877. Its description in RNAcentral is "partial 23S ribosomal RNA". It matches the Rfam family "Bacterial large subunit ribosomal RNA", at positions 2800 to 2925 of the family's 2925-position model. The record is from RNAcentral. Lineage: Bacteria; Pseudomonadati; Pseudomonadota; Gammaproteobacteria; Enterobacterales; Erwiniaceae.
UGAGACCGUGAGUCUCCUGAAGGGACGUUGAAGACGACGACGUUGAUAGGCCGGGUGUGUAAGCGCAGCGAUGCGUUGAGCUGACCGGUACUAAUGACCCGAGAGGCUUAACCUUACAACGCCAAAG